GACGUAGGGCGCGAGCGUUGUCCGGAUUUAUUGGGCGUAAAGAGCUCGUAGGCGGCUUGUCGCGUCGAAUGUGAAAACUCGGGGCUCAACUCCGAGCUUGCAUUCGAUACGGGCAGGCUAGAGUUCGGUAGGGGGAGACUGGAAUUCCUGGUGUAGCGGUGAAAUGCGCAGAUAUCGGGAGGAACACCAAUGGCGAAGGCGGGUCUCUGGGCAGUAACUGACGCUGAGGAGCGAAAGCGUGGGGAGCGAACAGG
RNAcentral lists this ribosomal RNA (254 nucleotides) under uncultured bacterium. Its description in RNAcentral is "partial 16S ribosomal RNA". It matches the Rfam family "Bacterial small subunit ribosomal RNA", at positions 524 to 776 of the family's 1533-position model. The record is from RNAcentral.